RNAcentral lists this ribosomal RNA (701 nucleotides) under uncultured bacterium. Its description in RNAcentral is "bacterial SSU rRNA". It matches the Rfam family "Bacterial small subunit ribosomal RNA", at positions 134 to 852 of the family's 1533-position model. The record is from RNAcentral.
CAGAGGGGGACAACAGUUGGAAACGACUACUAAUACCGCAUAAAAUAACGGAAUCGCAUGAUUCUGUUAUCAAAGGAGAUAUCCGCUGAAAGAUGGGCUCGCGUCUGAUUAGAUAGUUGGUGAGGUAACGGCCCACCAAGUCGACGAUCAGUAGCCGGACUGAGAGGUUGAACGGCCACAUUGGGACUGAGACACGGCCCAGACUCCUACGGGAGGCAGCAGUGGGGGAUAUUGGACAAUGGGGGAAACCCUGAUCCAGCGAUGCCGCGUGAGGGAAGAAGGUUUUCGGAUUGUAAACCUCUGUGGACAGGGACGAUAAUGACGGUACCUGUCAAGAAAGCCACGGCUAACUACGUGCCAGCAGCCGCGGUAAUACGUAGGUGGCGAGCGUUGUCCGGAAUUACUGGGUGUAAAGGGAGUGUAGGCGGGAAGGCAAGUCAGAAGUGAAAAUUAUGGGCUCAACCCAUAACCUGCUUUUGAAACUGUUUUUCUUGAGUGAAGCAGAGGCAAGCGGAAUUCCUAGUGUAGCGGUGAAAUGCGUAGAUAUUAGGAGGAACACCAGUGGCGAAGGCGGCUUGCUGGGCUUUUACUGACGCUGAGGCUCGAAAGCGUGGGGAGCAAACAGGAUUAGAUACCCCGGUAGUCCACGCCGUAAACGAUGGUUACUAGGUGAGGGGGGAUGAACCCUUCCGUGCCGGAGU